RNAcentral lists this long non-coding RNA (1053 nucleotides) under Capra hircus (goat). RNAcentral's name for it is "lncRNA (ENSCHIG00010005654.1)". Lineage: Eukaryota; Metazoa; Chordata; Mammalia; Artiodactyla; Bovidae. The record is from RNAcentral.
UACCUUGUCCUUAGAUCUCACUGGACUUAAUUGAGUCACAUGUUCAUUGUUGACCCAGUCCUUUUGCCAUGGGAUCCACUGUGCAAGAAAAACAGGAUUACUCUGAUUGGGUUCAACAGUGAUGGGCCACCUCUGCGGAGCUGUGGUUACUGGCAGCAAUACAAGACAAAGAGGUAGGAAGACUGGAGGGGAGAUUACCACAAUGUACACUACAAACAAAAUGCUAUAGAAUCACUGUUUUAUGAAGAACAGUUCAUCUUCAUCAAAGUUUGUAAGGACUUGUAGGCAAAAUAUUGAGUCCUUAGGAGAUUUAAAGUUUUCAAAGUUAGAUUAAAUAUAGUAUCUUUUACUUGCUCUCUUAUUUUACUGUUUUUCUGGUACUAUUUUGACAUUGUUACCAUUAUGAUUUCAGAUUUGUUGAGUAAUGAGAUAACCGUUUGUAUUCUCGAUAUUACAUUACGGCAAAAAUUACCUUUUAUAAUUUUUUUUAUUAUCUUCAUUCUGAUAUUUUAUACUGAGAGUGUUCUAGCUGGCCAUGAAUAUCUAAGUUCUUAUGCAACAGGUAGAGAGCAGAAUCAAGGUUAAUGGCAUUAGGAAAAGAAUGUCAAGAGUGUGUCAGAAAAGACACAAAAAUAGAUAUGAAAGAAUAAGAAGUCUUUUGAUGAGAAAUAGUUCAAUCUGUGUUGCUUGAAAGGUAAAAAUAUAAAAAUGACAUGCCUUUCACACAGUGAUAAAAACCCACACAGCUUAUAAUUUAGUGCUGCUUUACUUGUUAUUUGGAAUUGGAAGCUUAAAAUUAUACAAAGUACAAGAACAUCACAGAUGUAUAUUAUAAAUGAAGUAGUGUGGAAAGCCAAAUGUGAAAAAAGUGCAAUAAAGAAAAAAACUACAAAGAAACUUCUUGAAAUUGAAGAGAAACUUUGAAAAAGAUAAUAGAAAUAAUUUUUGUAAAGUCAAUAUGAACCAAAAUUGAAGGACACAGAGUGAAUUUGGUAGAAGAGGUCAAUUUAUCUUUAUAUGAAAGAAAGGUGAAAGUGAAAGGCGCUCAGUUUU